ACCGCAUGGUUCGGUGUGAAAAACUCCGGUGGUGUAAGAUGGACCCGCGUCUGAUUAGCUGGUUGGUGAGGUAACGGCUCACCAAGGCGACGAUCAGUAGCCGGCCUGAGAGGGUGAACGGCCACAUUGGGACUGAGACACGGCCCAAACUCCUACGGGAGGCAGCAGUGGGGAAUAUUGCACAAUGGGGGAAACCCUGAUGCAGCAACGCCGCGUGAGUGAAGAAGUCAUUCGUGAUGUAAAGCUCUAUCAGCAGGGAAGAAAAUGACGGUACCUGACUAAGAAGCCCCGGCUAACUACGUGCCAGCAGCCGCGGUAAUACGUAGGGGACAAGCGUUAUCCGGAUUUACUGGGUGUAAAGGGAGCGUAGACGGCGACGCAAGUCUGAAGUGAAAUGCCAGUGCUCAACACUGGAACUGCUUUGGAAACUGUGUGGCUAGAGUGCAGGAGAGGUAAGUGGAAUUCCUAGUGUAGCGGUGAAAUGCGUAGAUAUUAGGAGGAACACCAGUGGCGAAGGCGGCUUACUGGACUGUAACUGACGUUGAGGCUCGAAAGCGUGGGGAGCAAACAGGAUUAGAUACCCUGGUAGUCCACGCCGUAAACGAUGAUUACUAGGUGUCGG
Molecule: ribosomal RNA, 622 nt
Filed under: uncultured bacterium
Lineage: Bacteria
Description: bacterial SSU rRNA
Rfam family: Bacterial small subunit ribosomal RNA
Source: RNAcentral